This 661-nucleotide long non-coding RNA is filed under the name Bos indicus x Bos taurus (hybrid cattle). Its description in RNAcentral is "lncRNA (ENSBIXG00005014440.1)". Lineage: Eukaryota; Metazoa; Chordata; Mammalia; Artiodactyla; Bovidae. The record is from RNAcentral.
AAUUGUGAACUAGUAAAUGGGUGUUGUUUUAAGCUGCUAAAUAGUGAUAUACUUUAUAUGUACCAAUAGGAAAUGAACACCGCUGGACAGAGAAUGUGACAGCUGGAAUAUGGGACUUAAGCAUUUACAGUUGCGUAGGAUCUAAUCAUUUGGAAACGCAUGAAUAAGAUCAUUAAAUUGGGAGAGAGUGGAAAGAGCAUCUGGGGGGAAAUUCAGCUUAGUGAAGAAGAAAAAACACAUUGGAAGAAAGAGGAAACCAGCUGACAUAUAAUUAGGAGAAACCAAGGAAGUCAUUGAAAACCAAAGUGAAGACAAAUGAUUCCACAGAAGGUGAUGAACGUGGAAGAGACCAGUGCUGUUGAAUGGUGACCUUCAGAUCCUUCCAUCUCAAUGACAAGUGCAAUGAUCUUGUCCUGUUCAGAGGAGUUUGUUUAAAGGGUUCCAUGAUUUGUGAGAUUCCAAGAAGUCCAUGUGUGACCAGUGAGCAGAUGGGUCUCUCCAAGUCAAUGCCAAGUCACUAUGAUUCCAAAAAACAGUUGGUGAAGUCCGGCAAGGAACUCACAAGAGUGAUCCAUAGCCAAUUUAGUGUGCGGAACGAGGCUACUGUGCUCCCUCUUGAAGAUCCUCAAUAUGUGUAUCGAAUAUCCUUAAAAGUCCUCCU